UACGUAGGGUGCGAGCGUUGUCCGGAAUUAUUGGGCGUAAAGGGCGCGUAGGUGGCGGCCCAAGUCCAUGGUGAAAGCUCGAUGCUCAACAUCGAGUCGGCCACGGAUACUGGGUUGCUCGAGCACUGUAGGGGCAGAUGGAAUUCCGGGUGUAGCGGUGGAAUGCGUAGAGAUCCGGAAGAACACCGGUGGCGAAGGCGGUCUGCUGGGCAGUUGCUGACACUGAGGCGCGACAGCGUGGGGAGCAAACAGG
RNAcentral lists this ribosomal RNA (253 nucleotides) under uncultured bacterium. RNAcentral's name for it is "partial 16S ribosomal RNA". It matches the Rfam family "Bacterial small subunit ribosomal RNA", at positions 524 to 776 of the family's 1533-position model. The record is from RNAcentral.